Zalophus californianus (California sea lion) is the source of this 608-nucleotide long non-coding RNA. RefSeq lists it as uncharacterized. The transcript has 3 exons. The record is from RefSeq and is a predicted model, not a curated record. NCBI's taxonomy places the organism in Eukaryota, Metazoa, Chordata, Mammalia, Carnivora, Otariidae.
ACCCGGUUGCUAGCCGCUUAGUUCCCUCCUCCGCUUUCCGAAGGCGCGGUAUUAUCUCUCGCCUCUUGUCCUAAGCCUUCAGAGGAAAUUAGAGCCAGGCCCACAGCUGCAUGGGAACAGGACCAGGAAAAGAAGACGCUCGUUUGUUUUUCCUAUUCUCUCAUUGAUUUGGCCACCGUUUGCUGAACCUGAGUGCGGUGCGGUGCGGGGCUGGCUGCACCGAGGGAAGUCGGAGACAGCUGCCGCCUUGGCAGUGCUCACGUUGAGGAGGGACACUCCUGAACGCGAGUGCUUACUGUCCUGGACCGUGGAGCUACCCGAGGGUCUUGUCUGGCCCGAUGCAUGGCCUCUCGUGCCGUCCCAAACUGCUCCUUGUCAUAGGACAGAGGCACUGCUCCUAUUUCACAGGAAGCAGGUGAAACACAGAGCUGUAGCGACGGAGCAAGGGAAGGAACUUCGUUCUCUUGGACCAACAUUUGUGAUCUCUGACCCAGUGUUUCUCGAAUGCAAAGGAAAGAGGAUCAGGAGAGUGAAGGCCAGCUAGCAAGUGUGGAUGGACCGCAGCCGGCUAGAGGGACCAGUGCGCUCUCGGGGAGGACAUGGCGAGA